Molecule: non-coding RNA, 705 nt
Organism: Mus caroli (Ryukyu mouse)
Lineage: Eukaryota; Metazoa; Chordata; Mammalia; Rodentia; Muridae
Source: RefSeq, a predicted model, not a curated record
UAGGAUGCCGCAUGGAAGCCGAAGCCAGACUUCCCGGGUGACUCCUCCGGCCAGCCGGGCCCCUCAGGUGAGGGCUGCUCCCCGAAGAGCACCUGCAGCUCAGUCUCCAGCAGCAGCUGCACCAUCUGCAGUUGGCUCACCUGCCGCUGUGCCCCGACAGCCAGGCCUGAUGGCCCAGAUGGCUACCACCACUGCCGGUGUGGCUGUGGGCUCUGCAGUGGGGCACACCCUGGGUCACACCAUCACUGGGGGCUUCAGCGGAGGUGGUAGUGCUGAGCCCACAAAGCCUGACCUCACUUACCAGGUGCCUCAGGGAGCCCAGCUGCAGAACCAGCAGUCUUUUGGACCUUGCUCUCUAGAGAUCAAGCAGUUUCUGGAGUGUGCUCAGAACCAGAGUGAUGUCAAGCUCUGUGAGGGCUUCAAUGAGGUGCUGCGGCAGUGCAGGAUUGCAAAUGGUUUAAUCUAAUCAAGAAAAUCAAGCUGAAGAGAUGUAACAUUGGUUCUGUAUAACUGAUAGUACAAGUGUGGACCGUUAUAUUUCUAACAGCUCCGUUGCUUUGGAAUGGCCAUGAAAGAGAUCUAACUAUGGAUGGUUACUGAGGCUUGUAUGUAGUGUUGGUUACUGGGCACGUGUUUGGCCUUCUUGGACUGUGUUGUGAUUGUGAGUUAAAAAAAUAAAUAAAUUGGUUAUUCUGAAAAAAAAAA